CACGUAGGCGGCUUUUUAAGUCGGGGGUGAAAUCCUGGAGCUCAACUCCAGAACUGCCUUCGAUACUGAAGAGCUUGAGUUCGGGAGAGGUGAGUGGAACUGCGAGUGUAGAGGUGAAAUUCGUAGAUAUUCGCAAGAACACCAGUGGCGAAGGCGGCUCACUGGCCCGAUACUGACGCUGAGGUGCGAAAGCGUGGGAGCAAACA
This 206-nucleotide ribosomal RNA is filed under the name uncultured bacterium. RNAcentral's name for it is "partial 16S ribosomal RNA". It matches the Rfam family "Bacterial small subunit ribosomal RNA", at positions 568 to 774 of the family's 1533-position model. The record is from RNAcentral.